GAAGCCGCACGGUGCCAGAUCGGGUGAAUCACGUGGGUGAGGACACAGCGUUGUGUUCUCACAAGCCUGCCUUUCCUUUGGUUGGCUCUCAGCGGCAGCACUCGCCAUAGUCCAGAUUAUACCCCCAAACUUCCCAAAGACACUCAGGAAAGAACUUCCAGACCUGCUUCGGAAAGUGGUCCGAUAGGGAUGGAAAGAACAGACCAGGAUGGCCCACAUGUUCACAUAGCAGCAAAGGGAGGAGGCAAAAGAGCAGCAGGGCCAGAGUCAACAAACAAACAGCA
RNAcentral lists this long non-coding RNA (284 nucleotides) under Fukomys damarensis (Damara mole-rat). RNAcentral describes it as "lncRNA (ENSFDAG00000021733.1)". The record is from RNAcentral. Lineage: Eukaryota; Metazoa; Chordata; Mammalia; Rodentia; Bathyergidae.